UAGCUAGUUGGUGAGGUAACGGCUUACCAAGGCGACGAUCUGUAGCGGGUCUGAGAGGAUGAUCCGCCACACUGGAACUGAGACACGGUCCAGACUCCUACGGGAGGCAGCAGUGGGGAAUUUUGGACAAUGGGGGCAACCCUGAUCCAGCCAUGCCGCGUGAGUGAAGAAGGCCUUCGGGUUGUAAAGCUCUUUCGCCCGGGAAGAAAUCGCAUGGGCCAAUACCCUGUGUGGAUGACGGUACCGGAAUAAGAAGCACCGGCUAACUACGUGCCAGCAGCCGCGGUAAUACGUAGGGUGCGAGCGUUAAUCGGAAUUACUGGGCGUAAAGCGUGCGCAGGCGGUUUUGUAAGACAGGCGUGAAAUCCCCGGGCUCAACCUGGGAACUGCGUUUGUGACUGCAAGGCUAGAGUACGGCAGAGGGGGGUGGAAUUCCACGUGUAGCAGUGAAAUGCGUAGAGAUGUGGAGGAACACCAAUGGCGAAGGCAGCCCCCUGGGUCGAUACUGACGCUCAUGCACGAAAGCGUGGGUAGCAAACAGGAUUAGAUACCCUGGUAGUCCACGCCCUAAACUAAGUCAACUAGGUGUUGGGUGGGUAAAACCAUUUAGUACCGUAGCUAACGCGUGAAGUUGACCGCCUGGGGAGUACGGCCGCAAGGUUAAAACUCAAAGGAAUUGACGGGGACCCGCACAAGCGGUGGAUGAUGUGGAUUAAUUCGAUGCAACGCGAAAAACCUUACCUACCCUUGACAUGCCAGGAACUUGCCAGAGAUGGCUUGGUGCCCGAAAGGGAGCCUGGACACAGGUGCUGCAUGGCUGUCGUCAGCUCGUGUCGUGAGAUGUUGGGUUAAGUCCCGCAACGAGCGCAACCCUUGUCGUUAAUUGCCAUCAUUUAGUUGGGCACUUUAGCGAGACUGCCGGUGACAAACCGGAGGAAGGUGGGGAUGACGUCAAGUCCUCAUGGCCCUUAUGGGUAGGGCUUCACACGUCAUACAAUGGUCGAUACAGAGGGUCGCCAAGCCGCGAGGUGGAGCCAAUCCCAGAAAGCCGAUCGUAGUCCGGAUUGCAGGCUGCAACUCGCCUGCAUGAAGUCGGAAUCGCUAGUAAUCGUGGAUCAGCAUGUCACGGUGAAUACGUUCCCGGGUCUUGUACACACCGCCCGUCACACCAUGGGAGCGGGUUCCGCCAGAAGUAGGUAGCCUAACCGCAAGGAGGGCGCUUACCACGGCGGGGUUCGUGACUGGGGUGAAGUCGUAACAAGGUAGCCGUAGGGGAACCUGCGGCUG
Molecule: ribosomal RNA, 1287 nt
Filed under: metagenome
Description: bacterial SSU rRNA
Rfam family: Bacterial small subunit ribosomal RNA
Source: RNAcentral